UAUGCCAAGCUUGCUCCCUGAUGUUAGCGGCGGACGGGUGAGUAACACGUGGGUAACCUGCCUGUAAGACUGGGAUAACUCCGGGAAACCGGGGCUAAUACCGGAUGGUUGUUUGAACCGCAUGGUUCAAACAUAAAAGGUGGCUUCGGCUACCACUUACAGAUGGACCCGCGGCGCAUUAGCUAGUUGGUGAGGUAACGGCUCACCAAGGCAACGAUGCGUAGCCGACCUGAGAGGGUGAUCGGCCACACUGGGACUGAGACACGGCCCAGACUCCUACGGGAGGCAGCAGUAGGGAAUCUUCCGCAAUGGACGAAAGUCUGACGGAGCAACGCCGCGUGAGUGAUGAAGGUUUUCGGAUCGUAAAGCUCUGUUGUUAGGGAAGAACAAGUACCGUUCGAAUAGGGCGGUACCUUGACGGUACCUAACCAGAAAGCCACGGCUAACUACGUGCCAGCAGCCGCGGUAAUACGUAGGUGGCAAGCGUUGUCCGGAAUUAUUGGGCGUAAAGGGCUCGCAGGCGGUUUCUUAAGUCUGAUGUGAAAGCCCCCGGCUCAACCGGGGAGGGUCAUUGGAAACUGGGGAACUUGAGUGCAGAAGAGGAGAGUGGAAUUCCACGUGUA
This 623-nucleotide ribosomal RNA is filed under the name Bacillus subtilis. Its description in RNAcentral is "bacterial SSU rRNA". It matches the Rfam family "Bacterial small subunit ribosomal RNA", at positions 58 to 677 of the family's 1533-position model. Lineage: Bacteria; Bacillati; Bacillota; Bacilli; Caryophanales; Bacillaceae. The record is from RNAcentral.